Molecule: ribosomal RNA, 775 nt
Filed under: uncultured Neocallimastigales
Lineage: Eukaryota; Fungi; Neocallimastigomycota; Neocallimastigomycetes; Neocallimastigales
Description: partial large subunit ribosomal RNA
Rfam family: Eukaryotic large subunit ribosomal RNA
Source: RNAcentral
CGCAUCUGUGCAUGCAGCAUAUCAAUAAGUGGAGGAAAAGAAACUAACAAGGAUUCCCCUAGUAACGGCGAGUGAAGCGGGAAGAGCUCAAAUUCGAAAUCUUAAAGGGUUUCCCUUUACGAAUUGUAGUUUAAAGAAGUGUUUUCUGUUGAGGUUUUGGUAAAAGUUCUUUGGAAUAGGACAUCAUAGAGGGUGAGAAUCCCGUAUUUGACCCUUUACUUUCAACUUUGUGAUACACUUUCAAAGAGUCGGAUUGUUUGGGAAUGCAGUCCAAAAUGGGUGGUAAAUUUCAUCUAAAGCUAAAUAUUGGCGAGAGACCGAUAGCGAACAAGUACCGUGAGGGAAAGAUGAAAAGAACUUUGAAAAGAGAGUUAAACAGUACGUGAAAUUGUCAAAAGGGAAGCGUUUGACACCAGUGUUGUUUUUCUGAAAAUCAAUUAAAGAACUGUUUAUGCUAAGUUGUUUAGACUUUAUCAGCUAACUGUUUAGUUUUGAGCUUUUCUUUAAUGCACUUUUCAGUUAACAAGUCAACAUCAAUUUCUUUUGCUGUAAAAAAGCUUGAGGAAGGUGGCUUGAGAUUCGUCUUAAGUGUUUAUAGCCUCUUGCCUAUGCAGUCGGAGAGAUUGAGGUCUGCAGCGUAGAUCCUUCGGGGCUAAAUGCAUUUGUGCUAAGUUAUAACAUUUUAUAGACAACUUGUUGACUAUGAUUUGUCUUGUAGCUUACUCGCUUAUGUUAUUUUACCUACGCUUAGGAUGUUGACAGCAGUAUAGACUGU